GCUGAAGUGGUGAAAUGGCAGACACGCAUGAUUCAGGUUCAUGUGCCGCAAGGCAUGGGGGUUCAAGUCCCCCUUUCAGCACCA
RNAcentral lists this transfer RNA (84 nucleotides) under Puniceicoccales bacterium. RNAcentral describes it as "tRNA-Leu". It matches the Rfam family "tRNA". From Rfam's summary of the family: Transfer RNA (tRNA) molecules are approximately 80 nucleotides in length. The record is from RNAcentral. Lineage: Bacteria; Pseudomonadati; Verrucomicrobiota; Opitutia; Puniceicoccales.